UGGGGAAUUUUGGACAAUGGGCGAAAGCCUGAUCCAGCAAUGCCGCGUGUGUGAAGAAGGCCUUCGGGUUGUAAAGCACUUUUGUCCGGAAAGAAAUCCUUGGCUCUAAUACAGUCGGGGGAUGACGGUACCGGAAGAAUAAGCACCGGCUAACUACGUGCCAGCAGCCGCGGUAAUACGUAGGGUGCAAGCGUUAAUCGGAAUUACUGGGCGUAAAGCGUGCGCAGGCGGUUUGCUAAGACCGAUGUGAAAUCCCCGGGCUCAACCUGGGAACUGCAUUGGUGACUGGCAGGCUAGAGUAUGGCAGAGGGGGGUAGAAUUCCACGUGUAGCAGUGAAAUGCGUAGAGAUGUGGAGGAAUACCGAUGGCGAAGGCAGCCCCCUGGGCCAAUACCUGACGCUCAUGCACGAAAAGCGUGGGGGAGCAAAACAGGAUUAG
This 438-nucleotide ribosomal RNA is filed under the name uncultured bacterium. Its description in RNAcentral is "partial 16S ribosomal RNA". It matches the Rfam family "Bacterial small subunit ribosomal RNA", at positions 355 to 781 of the family's 1533-position model. The record is from RNAcentral.